ACUUGAAUAGCUUAUUUUUAGAGCAUAAUAUUGAAGAUAUUAAGGAAAUUUAAAAUUUUCAAGUA
Molecule: transfer RNA, 65 nt
Filed under: Meloidae sp. MT-2010
Lineage: Eukaryota; Metazoa; Arthropoda; Insecta; Coleoptera; Meloidae
Description: tRNA-Phe
Source: RNAcentral